Long non-coding RNA from Patella vulgata (common limpet), 1480 nucleotides. RefSeq lists it as uncharacterized. NCBI's taxonomy places the organism in Eukaryota, Metazoa, Mollusca, Gastropoda, Patellidae. The record is from RefSeq and is a predicted model, not a curated record. The transcript is spliced from 2 exons.
UAAUAUGUAUAUAGAUAAGUUUAAGAUAAGGUAUCGGGUAUAACCAUAAAAUUAUUGGAGAAAAAACUUAGUUCAGAAUAAUACACCAUUGUGUGAACUGGAUAUGGAAAGAGGGCGAAUGCCAGACAAAGACUACCGUAUAUUACAAGAAAACUAUGUUUUUUUGAUACAGAAUGUCGAGGCAAGGUAUCUUAUUCCUUAUCUUCAUCAAAUAAAUCUAAUAUCCACUGACGAUAUGGUAGUUUUAGAGAAUGAGGAAGUAAAUAAAGGACACACAGCAGGAAUGAAAAAGCUUAUUGAAAUAUUAAACUGGUCUGGAUAUAAUGCUUUAUCUGGUUUUAUAACAAGCUUACAGACAGCUGGUUACACCCAUGCUGUACAAAAACUGCAGGCAACAGGCAUAGAUAACAACAAUGAAGACCUGAAUAACAAUAUUCAAUACCAGUUACUAAACAUUGUGAUGAAUGAUGUAAAGCAACUAAAGGAGAAUGAUUUACGAGAAGAGGAACAAAUAAAAAAGUUGCAAGAUGAAGUCGAGUUGCUAAAAAUAAAAGGGAUGAAUGAUGUAAAGCAACUAAAGGAGAAUGAUUUACGAAAAGAGGAACAAAUAAAAAAGUUGAAAGAGUUGCUAAAAAUAAAAGGGAAGAAACUCUUCUCCACAAUAUAAAAAGCAACCAAAUGAUUAAACUUGAUAACCAAAAUAAUCUGUUUGGGUGAACUUUUCCUUUAAAGGGGCCAAACCUUUGGAAAUAUACAGCCAUAUUGUUCUGCAUAACUUCAGACAAUAUUUGCAAAACAGAAUCACUAACUUUAGAAAUAUCUUUUUAACAAAAUGCGUAUCUUGAGAAGUUUGACAAUAUUAACGUUUUCAAAUGAAAUGAAAAUGGAUUAUGAAGUGCUGUGUAUAUAAUUUGAAUAUUGUUUAUAAACUAUAGCAGGCUGCAUUAUGUAAGAGCUAUUUCGGCAUCAAAUGUUAUCAUUCAGACAUUUAUUCACAUGACAAGCUUAAGCCUAUAUAAAGAAUCUCCUACGAGUCUUUUUUGAUAUCAAAAAAUAUCAACUCAAGUCAAUAAUGUAAAAAGAACAUGGCCUUGCCGAGGUUUUUUUUUUUAUCGACAAGUGUUGAUAUUUGUUGAUGUCAAAAAAGGUGAGUAGAUGAUUUUAUUUAUCACCCAACCAUUUCCACCCUUUUUAAUUGACCAAUAAAAUUCAUGUAAAGCGAUACCUCCUAGGAGAAUAAGAAAUUUAUCACACAAGCAAUAUCUACUCUAGAAUGUGUUAUUGGGGGAUAAAAUCAACUCUCUAUACCAUUGGAUGGAGCAGAUGUAAACGAACUGAAAUACGAAAACCAUUUAAGAAUUUAAUUUAGAAAUGGAGAAGCGAGGCUGAGUCUCUCGUGUAACGUUGCUACAAUAAAACAAUCUAUGUCAAAUCUUCAAACAAUGAUAAUGUCACUCAGAAUAAAGUAAUUUAAACGUAA